Molecule: ribosomal RNA, 664 nt
Filed under: uncultured bacterium
Lineage: Bacteria
Description: bacterial SSU rRNA
Rfam family: Bacterial small subunit ribosomal RNA
Source: RNAcentral
UGGCACCAACGGGUGUAAUAAUACCUAGGAACUUUCUUUAAGUGGGGCAUAACCCAGCCGAACAGGUUGGAUAAUUCCCCAUGUGACCGUAAGGUUCAAAGUCGCCAAGACGCUAUAAAGUGAGAGCCUGGGGCACCAUCAGCUAGUUGGUAGGGUAAAGGCCUACCAAGGCUAUGACGAGAUUACGGGCCCCUGAGAGGGGAAACCCCCACACUGGAACUGCGACACGGUCCAGACUCCUACGGGAGGCAGCAGUUUGGAAUUAUGGACAAUGGGCGAAAGCCUGAUCCAGCGACGCCGCAGUGGACGAUGAAGGCCUUCGGGUUGUAAAGUCCUUAUUGCCUGGGAACAAUUUUUGAGUGUACCAGGAGAAUAAGAGGUUGCUAACUCUGUGCCAGCAGCAGCGGUAAUACAGAGACCUCAAGCGUUAUCCGGAAUCAUUGGGCGUAAAGCGUACCGAUAGGUGGUUUUACAAGUCAGAAGUGAAAUCUCUCAGCUCAACUGGGUGAAUGUCUUUUGAAACUGUAAAACUUGAGGGGCAAAGAGGAAGCUGGAACGAACGGUGUAGUAUGAAAUGCGUUGAUAUCGUUCGGAACAACAAUAGCGUAGGCAAGCUUCUGGGUGCCACCUUGACAACUGCUUAGGACCGAAAAAGCGUGGGGUU